AGCGAACGCUGGCGGCAGGCCUAACACAUGCAAGUCGAACGGUGAAAGCGGAGCUUGCUCCGCUGGAUCAGUGGCGAACGGGUGAGUAACACGUGGGCAACCUGCCCCUCACUUCGGGAUAACUCCGGGAAACCGGGGCUAAUACCGGAUAUGACCUCCUUGGGCAUCCUUGGAGGUGGAAAGUUUUUCGGUGGGGGAUGGGCCCGCGGCCUAUCAGCUUGUUGGUGAGGUAGUGGCUCACCAAGGCGACGACGGGUAGCCGGCCUGAGAGGGGGAGCGGCCACACUGGGACUGGGACACGGCCCAGACUCCUACGGGAGGCAGGAGUGGGGAAUAUUGCGCAAUGGGCGAAAGCCUGACGCAGCAACGCCGCGUGCGGGAUGACGGCCUUCGGGUUGUAAACCGCUUUCAGCAGGGAAGAAGCCGCAAGGUGACGGUACCUGCAGAAGAAGCACCGGCUAACUACGUACCAGCAGCCGCCGUAA
Molecule: ribosomal RNA, 485 nt
Filed under: uncultured bacterium
Lineage: Bacteria
Description: partial 16S ribosomal RNA
Rfam family: Bacterial small subunit ribosomal RNA
Source: RNAcentral